Molecule: transfer RNA, 70 nt
Filed under: Dipodomys ordii (Ord's kangaroo rat)
Lineage: Eukaryota; Metazoa; Chordata; Mammalia; Rodentia; Heteromyidae
Rfam family: tRNA
About the family: Transfer RNA (tRNA) molecules are approximately 80 nucleotides in length. Their secondary structure includes four short double-helical elements and three loops (D, anti-codon, and T loops). Further hydrogen bonds mediate the characteristic L-shaped molecular structure. tRNAs have two regions of fundamental functional importance: the anti-codon, which is responsible for specific mRNA codon recognition, and the 3' end, to which the tRNAs corresponding amino acid is attached (by aminoacyl-tRNA synthetases). tRNAs cope with the degeneracy of the genetic code in two manners: having more than one tRNA (with a specific anti-codon) for a particular amino acid; and 'wobble' base-pairing, i.e. permitting non-standard base-pairing at the 3rd anti-codon position.
Source: Rfam by way of RNAcentral
GGAAAUGUGGCCUAGUGGUAGAGUGCUUGCCUAGCGUGCAAGAAGCCGUGGGUUCAAUUCCUCAGUACCA